This 1053-nucleotide long non-coding RNA is filed under the name Pan paniscus (pygmy chimpanzee). RNAcentral's name for it is "lncRNA (ENSPPAG00000045030.1)". The record is from RNAcentral. Lineage: Eukaryota; Metazoa; Chordata; Mammalia; Primates; Hominidae.
UCACUGCCAAAUGGCAUGAGAAGUGCUGUGACAGACUUGAGUAAAGUCCACAGGGUUCAGAAGGGGCGGUGGUCGUCACUGCAUGGGGGUGACCUCAGACUGUCCCGAUCCCUGUAUUGGCCCCUUUCACAGUUGGAUAACCAGUCCCAGCCUCAUGACCCUGGGCCUCAGUCAGCGUUUAGCCUACCAGGGUCCACCCAGCACCUGCGCUCCCAGCUGUCACAAUGCAAACAACGCUAUCAAGAUCUCCAGGAGAAGCUGCUGCUAUCAGAAGCCACUGUCUUUGCUCAGGCUAACGAGCUGGAGAAAUACAGAGUUAUGCUUAGUGAAUCCUUGGUGAAGCAGGACAGCAAGCAGGUCCAGGUGAACCUCCAGGACCUGGGCUAUGAGACUUGUGGCUGAAGCGAGAAUCAGGCUGAACAGGAGGAAACCACCAGUCCUGAGUGUGAGGAGCACAACAGCCUCAAGGAAGUGAUCCUGAUGGAGGGGCUGUGCUCUGAGCAGGGGUGCCGGGGCUGGCUAGUUCGUCUGAGAGGAAGCCCUUGGAGAACCAGCUAGGGAAGCAGGAAGAGUUCCGGGUAUAUGGAAAGUCAGAAAACAUCUCGGUCCUACGAAAGGAGAUCAAAGAUCUGAAGGCCCAGCUGCAGAAUGCCAACAAGGUCAUUCAGAACCUCAAGAGCCAGGUCUGGUCCCUCUCAGUUACAAGUGAUUAUUCGUCUAGUCUGGAAAGACCCCAGAAGCUGAGAGCUGUUGGCACCUUGGAGGGGUCUUCACCUCAUAGUGUCCCUGAUGAGGAUGAGGUGUGGCUGUCUGAUGGCACUGGGGCUUUCUACUCGCCAGGGCUUUAGGCCAAAAAGGACCUGGAGAGUCUCAUCCAGAGAGUAUCCCAGCUGGAGGCCCAGCUCCCAAAAAAUGGACUAGAAAGGAAGCUGGCUGAGGAGUUGAAAUCAGCCUCUUGGCCUGGGUAAGGAUGGCACUAUUUGGGCACUUCCUGGAUUGAAAAUGUGUAAGUUUGUGCUUGCUGUAGGGUAGCUCAGGCAGUUGGAAGAAAGA